RNAcentral lists this ribosomal RNA (439 nucleotides) under uncultured bacterium. Its description in RNAcentral is "partial 16S ribosomal RNA". It matches the Rfam family "Bacterial small subunit ribosomal RNA", at positions 339 to 795 of the family's 1533-position model. The record is from RNAcentral.
CUACGGGGUGCUGCAGUGAGGAAUAUUGCACAAUGGGGGGAACCCUGAUGCAGCAACGCCGCGUGGAGGAUGACGCAUUUCGGUGUGUAAACUCCUUUUAUAUGUCAAGAAAAUGACGGUAGCAUAUGAAUAAGCACCGGCUAACUCCGUGCCAGCAGCCGCGGUAAUACGGAGGGUGCAAGCGUUACUCGGAAUCACUGGGCGUAAAGGACGCGUAGGCGGGUUGGAAAGUCAGGUGUGAAAUCCUACAGCUUAACUGUAGAACUGCACUUGAAACUUCUAAUCUAGAGGAUGGGAGGGGGAGAUGGAAUUAGUGGUGUAGGGGUAAAACCCGUAGAUAUCACUAGGAAUACCUAAAGCGAAGGCGAUCUCCUGGAACAUUACUGACGCUAAGGCGUGAAAGCGUGGGGAGCAAACAGGAUUAGAUACCCCUGUAGUC